UAUAAACCGUUGAAGGGGAAGUAAAAGCGCAAACCAACCUCACAGAGAGUCGGGUAAGGUGGAAUCUCGACAGGUAAUGGAGCGAGUAAAUGGGCCCCUGAGGGCGGAACGAAAAAGCAGCCGCUGCUUUAGUAGUUUCCGACGCUGAGCCCGCGUUAUGAGGCAAAGGGUGUGUUGGCACUCUGCAUGAGAGGAUGCAUUAAUUGGUGCAUCAAUUAAGGUGGUACCGCAGAUUUACGUCUGUCCUUAUU
Molecule: non-coding RNA, 251 nt
Filed under: Desulfosporosinus acidiphilus
Lineage: Bacteria; Bacillati; Bacillota; Clostridia; Eubacteriales; Desulfitobacteriaceae
Description: T-box sequence
Rfam family: T-box leader
About the family: Uncharged tRNA acts as the effector for transcription antitermination of genes in the T-box leader family. T-boxes are found upstream of many aminoacyl-tRNA synthetase genes and some amino acid biosynthetic genes usually in Gram-positive bacteria.
Source: RNAcentral